This 403-nucleotide ribosomal RNA is filed under the name uncultured bacterium. RNAcentral describes it as "partial 16S ribosomal RNA". It matches the Rfam family "Bacterial small subunit ribosomal RNA", at positions 29 to 526 of the family's 1533-position model. The record is from RNAcentral.
AUUGAACGCUGGCGGCAGGCCUAACACAUGCAAGUCGAGCGAGCGGCGGACGGGUGAGUAAUGUAUGGGGACUGCCCGAUAGAGGGGGAUAACUACUGGAAACGGUGGCUAAUACCGCAUACUAUCGGAUAACCCAUAUGGGAUUAGCUAGUAGGUGGGGUAAAGGCUCACCUAGGCGACGAUCGCUAGCUGGUCUGAGAGGAUGAUGGGCCACCGUGGAAAUGGGAAACGGCCCAGACUCCAACGGAGGCGGCAGUGGGGAAUAUUGCACAAUGGGCGAAAGCCUGAUGCAGCAAUGCCGCGUGUAGGGAGAGGGCCUUAGGGUUGUAAAGUACUUACAGCGGGGAGUCGUUAGCCGCAGAAGAAGCACCGGCUAACUCCGUGCCAGCCGCCGCGGUAAUAC